GGUCAAGCUAGAAAGGGCACACGGAGGAUGCCUUGGCACCAGGAGCCGAUGAAGGACGUGAUAAGCUGCGAUAAGCUUCGGGUAGGUGCAAAUAACCUAUGAACCGGAGAUUUCCGAAUGGGGAAACCCAACCGUUUGGUUACUGUAUAGUGAAUAAAUAGCUAUGCAGAGGUAAACCCGGGGAACUGAAACAUCUAAGUACCCGGAGGAAGAGAAAGAAUAAUUCGAUUUUCUGAGUAGCGGCGAGCGAAAGGGAAAGAGCCCAAACCUGAGAGGGAAACUUCUCAGGGGUUGUGGACCGGCAUUUAGUAUUGAGCUUUUAGUCGAACUACCUGGAAAGGUAGGCCAUAGGAGGUAAAAGCCCUGUAGAUGAAAAGAGCAAGAUAUGAGCCGGAAUCCAGAGUACCACCGGACACGAGAAAUCUGGUGGGAAGCAGGGAGGACCACCUCCCAAGGCUAAAUACUACCUGGUGACCGAUAGAGGAGAAGUACCGUGAGGGAAAGGUGAAAAGAACCCCGGGAGGGGAGUGAAAGAGAACCUGAAACCGUGUGCUUACAAGCAGUUGGAGGGAGUUUAUGCCUGACAGCGUGCUUUUUGUAGAACGAGCCAGCGAGUUACGGUAUGAAGCAAGGUUAAGUACUUAAGGUACGGAGCCAAAGGGAAACCGAGUCUUAAUAGGGCGUUAAGUUUCAUGCUGUAGACCCGAAACCAGGUGACCUAUCCAUGGACAGGAUGAAGGUGAGGUAAAACUUACUGGAGGUCCGAACCCACGUGUGUUGAAAAAUGCGGGGAUGAGCUGUGGAUAGCGGAGAAAUUCCAAUCGAACUUGGAGAUAGCUGGUUCUCCCCGAAAUAGCUUUAGGGCUAGCCUUAAGAAUGAGUAUUGGAGGUAGAGCACUGAAUGGGCUAGGGGCCAAUGAGGUUACCGAACCCUAUCAAACUCCGAAUGCCAAAUACUAUAAUCUUAGGAGUCAGACUACGAGUGAUAAGAUCCGUGGUCGAAAGGGAAACAGCCCAGAUCAUCAGCUAAGGUCCCAAAGUGUAAGUUAAGUGGAAAAGGAUGUGAGGUUUCACAGACAACCAGGAUGUUGGCUUAGAAGCAGCCACACAUUAAAAGAGUGCGUAAUAGCUCACUGGUCGAGAGAUCUUGCGCCGAAGAUGUCCGGGGCUAAAACUUACCACCGAAGCUAUGGGAAUGAAAAUUCGGUAGGGGAGCUUCCUAUACGGGCAGAAGCAAUACUGUAAGGAGUUGUGGACUGUAUAGGAGUGAGAAUGCUGGCAUAAGUAGCGAGAGGCAGGUGAGAAUCCUGCCCGUCGAAGACCUAAGGUUUCCUGAGGAAGGUUCGUCCGCUCAGGGUUAGUCGGGACCUAAGGCGAGGCCGAAAGGCGUAGUUGAUGGACAAUCGGUUGAUAUUCCGAUACCACCUUUAACGAUUGAGAGAAGUAGUGACACAGCAGGAUAGUUCCAGCACACCGUUGGUUGAGUGUGCCUAAGCAUUUAGGCUGCUCUGUAGGCAAAUCCGCAGAGCAUAAGGCUGAGAUGUAAUGGGGAAGAAGGCAGCUUGCUGCCUUAAGGGAAUGAUUCCACACUGUCGAGAAAAGCUGCUAUCGAGUGAAGAGGUGCCCGUACCGCAAACCGACACAGGUAGGUGAGGAGAGAAUCCUAAGACGAACGAGAGAACCCUUGUUAAGGAACUCGGCAAAUUGACCCCGUAACUUCGGGAGAAGGGGUACCUAGAAAUAGGUCGCAGUGAAAAGGCCCAAGCGACUGUUUAGCAAAAACACAGGUCUCUGCUAAAGCGAAAGCUGAAGUAUAGGGGCUGACACCUGCCCAGUGCUGGAAGGUUAAGGGGAUGAGUUAGCGCAAGCGAAGCUUUGAACCGAAGCCCCAGUGAACGGCGGCCGUAACUAUAACGGUCCUAAGGUAGCGAAAUUCCUUGUCGGGUAAGUUCCGACCCGCACGAAUGGUGUAACGACUUGGGCACUGUCUCAACAAGGGACUCGGCGAAAUUGUAGUACCGGUGAAGAUGCCGGUUACCCGCGAUUGGACGGAAAGACCCCGUAGAGCUUUACUGUAGCUUAGCAUUGAGUUUCGGCAUUAUCUGUACAGGAUAGGUGGGAGGCAGAGAAGUAGGGUCGCCAGAUUCUAUGGAGCUAACCUUGGGAUACCACCCUGAUGAUGCUAAAAUUCUAACCGGGAUCCAUGAAGCUGGAUACGGGACAUUGCUAGGUGGGCAGUUUGACUGGGGCGGUCGCCUCCCAAAAUGUAACGGAGGCGUCCAAAGGUUCCCUCAGAGCGGUUGGAAAUCGCUCGAAGAGUAUAAAGGCAUAAGGGAGCCUGACUGCGAGACAAACAAGUCGAGCAGGGACGAAAGUCGGGCUUAGUGAUCCGGUGGUUCCGAGUGGAAGGGCCAUCGCUCAACGGAUAAAAGCUACCUCGGGGAUAACAGGCUUAUCUCCCCCAAGAGUCCAUAUCGACGGGGAGGUUUGGCACCUCGAUGUCGGCUCGUCGCAUCCUGGGGCUGAAGUAGGUCCCAAGGGUUGGGCUGUUCGCCCAUUAAAGCGGCACGCGAGCUGGGUUCAGAACGUCGUGAGACAGUUCGGUCCCUAUCCGUCGCGGGCGCAGGAAAUUUGAAGGGAGCUGUCCUUAGUACGAGAGGACCGGGAUGGACAGACCUAUGGUGUACCAGUUGUCCUGCCAAGGGCACGGCUGGGUAGCUAUGUCUGGAAUUGAUAAGCGCUGAAAGCAUCUAAGUGCGAAACAAACCCUAAGAUAAGAUUUCCCAUGGAGUAGUCCAGUAAGACCCCUGAAAGAACAUCAGGUUGAUAGGCUGUGGGUGUAAGUGCAGUAAUGCAUUGAGCUUUGCAGUACUAAUUGGUCGAGGGCUUGACCUA
Oxobacter pfennigii is the source of this 2895-nucleotide ribosomal RNA. It matches the Rfam family "Bacterial large subunit ribosomal RNA". The record is from Rfam. Lineage: Bacteria; Bacillati; Bacillota; Clostridia; Eubacteriales; Clostridiaceae.